CCUACGGGAGACAGCAGUGGGGAAUAUUGGGCAAUGGGCGCAAGCCUGACCCAGCAACGCCGCGUGAAGGAAGAAGGCUUUCGGGUUGUAAACUUCUUUUAAGGGGGAAGAGCAGAAGACGGUACCCCUUGAAUAAGCCACGGCUAACUACGUGCCAGCAGCCGCGGUAAUACGUAGGUGGCAAGCGUUGUCCGGAUUUACUGGGUGUAAAGGGCGUGCAGCCGGAGCGACAAGUCAGAUGUGAAAUCCACGGGCUCAACCCGUGAACUGCAUUUGAAACUGUUUCCCUUGAGUGAUGGAGAGGUAAUCGGAAUUCCUUGUGUAGCGGUGAAAUGCGUAGAUAUAAGGAAGAACACCAGUGGCGAAGGCGGAUUACUGGACGAUAACUGACGGUGAGGCGCGAAAGCGUGGGGAGCAAACAGGAUUAGAUACCCCAGUAGUC
This 442-nucleotide ribosomal RNA is filed under the name uncultured bacterium. RNAcentral describes it as "partial 16S ribosomal RNA". It matches the Rfam family "Bacterial small subunit ribosomal RNA", at positions 338 to 795 of the family's 1533-position model. The record is from RNAcentral.